RNAcentral lists this ribosomal RNA (253 nucleotides) under uncultured bacterium. RNAcentral describes it as "partial 16S ribosomal RNA". It matches the Rfam family "Bacterial small subunit ribosomal RNA", at positions 524 to 776 of the family's 1533-position model. The record is from RNAcentral.
UACGUAGGGUGCAAGCGUUGUCCGGAAUUAUUGGGCGUAAAGAGCUCGUAGGCGGUUUGUCGCGUCUGCUGUGAAAACCCGAGGCUCAACCUCGGGCCUGCAGUGGGUACGGGCAGACUAGAGUGCGGUAGGGGAGAUUGGAAUUCCUGGUGUAGCGGUGGAAUGCGCAGAUAUCAGGAGGAACACCAAUAGCGAAGGCAGCUCGCUGGGACGUUACUGACACUAAGGCGCGAAAGCGUGGGGAGCGAACAGG